AGUAAAGUAGUUUUGAGAUUUUAGCUACCAUUUAUUUUACUUAAACUGCGGAGUCCUUGGGACUUUUCUGCGUGACAAUUUCUUUUUGGCUUACGGUAAUUCAUCUUCUUGAAUAUUUUGUUUUCUUGGGAAAAAAGUUCUCCCUUGAUGUCUUUAGCAAAGGUUUUAGGUCCAAAGUUGCAUUCAAUUUCUCCUGAUUAUAAUUUUGAUAGACACCCUUGACCCUAAACAAGAAAAUCUGGAAUAGGUGCAAAAUGAAGACUUGCUGACAAGAAACCUGUAUUU
Molecule: long non-coding RNA, 285 nt
Filed under: Mytilus galloprovincialis (Mediterranean mussel)
Lineage: Eukaryota; Metazoa; Mollusca; Bivalvia; Mytilida; Mytilidae
Source: RNAcentral